ACGAACGCUGGCGGCAUGCCUAACACAUGCAAGUCGCACGAGACCUUCGGGUCUAGUGGCGCACGGGUGCGUAACGCGUGGGAACCUGCCCUUAGGUUCGGAAUAACUCCCCGAAAGGGGUGCUAAUACCGGAUAAUGUCUUCGGACCAAAGAUUUAUCGCCUUUGGAUGGGCCCGCGUUGGAUUAGCUAGUUGGUAGGGUAAAAGCCUACCAAGGCGACGAUCCAUAGCUGGUCUGAGAGGAUGAUCAGCCACACUGGGACUGAGACACGGCCCAGACUCCUACGGGAGGCAGCAGUGGGGAAUAUUGGACAAUGGGCGAAAGCCUGAUCCAGCAAUGCCCCGUGAGUGAUGAAGGCCUUAGGGUUGUAAAGCUCUUUUACCCGGGAUGAUAAUGACAGUACCGGGAGAAUAAGCUCCGGCUAACUCCGUG
Molecule: ribosomal RNA, 432 nt
Filed under: uncultured bacterium
Lineage: Bacteria
Description: partial 16S ribosomal RNA
Rfam family: Bacterial small subunit ribosomal RNA
Source: RNAcentral